Lathyrus oleraceus (garden pea) is the source of this 2094-nucleotide long non-coding RNA. RefSeq lists it as uncharacterized. The transcript has 2 exons. NCBI's taxonomy places the organism in Eukaryota, Viridiplantae, Streptophyta, Magnoliopsida, Fabales, Fabaceae. The record is from RefSeq and is a predicted model, not a curated record.
AGAAUUGUGUUUUUGUUUUGUGUGACAUUCUGGCCUACCCUACCUGUAAAUUUUGAGGGCUCUUUUUCUAUAAUAGCAGUUUUGACUUAGCAUCUGACGAAUUUUACAUUUUUUUUUUCAUUUUUAGUGGGAAUUUGAGGUUUCUUCUGCAAUGUAAAUAAUUAUCUUAGUACUUCACGGUGAUUGUUCGUGAAUUUCCGUUUGCGUGUAAAGAACGAUGAGUUGUGUCCUGAAACUUCUUGAUAAUGAUUUUCACUCUAGUCUGUAGCUGCACGAACAAUUGUGUAGAAACUUCUAAAUCGGAUUCCCUUUAUUAAAUUCUCCCGUUAUUUAAUUUUCUACCAUCAAACAUAAAAGGUGAAUUUUUUUUUUAAAAUUUAAAAACAAGAGAGUGGUUUUGAUGAUUGAGAUGCCUUUAUUCGUAUGAUUUUUUAAUUAUUAUUAGUUUCAUGUAAUCCAACAACAAUGAGCACGAUGAGUGAUGAUAAUAACCUUUUCGCGAGGUUCAAUACAUUAUUUCUUAAAGUAAUUUAGUUUUCAAUAAAAAAUAGUUUUAAUUGUUGGAUCCUAUUCAUAUCUAUUUUUUUACAAAGUGAAAAAACCCCUUAAAUCUACACCGUUAAAAAAUUUACAAGAGGAAGUUUACUACAACCACUUGGACUUAUGCAUCAAGACCAAACUCUAACGUGCAAGUUGAAUAAAGCACUUUAUAGACUCGGAUAAGCCUUAUGCGUAUAGUAUGAGAAAUUUUGAACCAAUAGUAUGAGAAAGUUGUAUAUUUCACAUGAGACUUUGGAUGUGUAAUUCGAAUCACAGAUAUCCAUGAGUCAAAUCAACCAAGGUAGAGAGGAAUAUAAAUUUGUUGGAGGUUGUGAGUCGAAUUAUAAUCUGUUCUUGAGUUGAAUCACAAAUCUUUCUCUAGUCAUUUUUUCAACCAUGGUCAAGUUUGACUCGAAUCAUGAGCAUGCCCUAACUUGAAUCAUGGUCUGUUUGAGUUGAAUCAUGAAUUAGUCUUGAGUCGAAUCAUAGAAAAAUGAGUCUCUCUUUGAGUGUUGAUUUUUUUCCACAUUAUUUUGUCAUCCAACUCAAAUCACCAAUUGCUCUUGAUUCAAAUCAAACAUGAUUUAUUCAAUUCUUUUUGUGCUUCAUCUCUAGCAUAUAUAAAUCAUUUUUAUCUCUCAAUAUUUCAUAAUGUUAUAAACCACUUGUUGAUUCAUUUUCACCAAUUUCAUUAUUGAUGAUUUGAAAAUUCACAAACCACUUGUUUUUACAUUUUCAAAAGGAUUUUGAAUCUUUUUUAACACUUGCAAAUGAUUUCUUUCAUCUUCUAUCUCAUUCUUUUUUCAUUGUUGCUUGCAUGAAUUCGAAUCUUAUCUUGAUAGGUUUGUGAUAGAUUUAGGAUAUUUGUUUUUGGAUUUAACGUUUCUUUGAAGAUUUGCUUAAAAUUUUAGAGGUUUGCAAGAUCGUGUGGUGUUGUGACAAUUUCAGUGGAAAAGAUAAAGAUUCUUCUAUCAAGAUUGAUCUUGGUAGUGUUGCGUGGAAGCAUAUGAACAUGAAACUGUUGCAGACGAAGACUUAAGAGCAAGUUGUUGGGACUGAAAGAUUCAAGAAGCGAUCUCGAGUAAAGGUUUCACAUAGAGUUCAGUUUGUGGAGUUGUGUACAAGUCAAGAUCCAAAAUAAAAGAAAUUUUAUUUUCAACAUUUUAUUUGUGGACUAGUGAUUGCACAAACUAUAGUAAUUUGUUGCAAAUCAUAGUGGAAGACCACCGAUUUUUUUAUGGACAACCAUUGGAUAGUGGAUUAAGCAUAAAUCAAAGACGAACAUCUCAAACCAUUAUAAAUUUUGGUGUUCAUCUCUAUCUCUCUCUCAUUUAAUUUUUUAGUUGAUCACAUGAUUAGGUUCUUAUUGCUUUCUAGAAUCGCAUGUUGAUAGAUUUAUCCGCUAGUAGAAUUUGAAACUCAACCUUGUCUGAUUGUGGAUUAAGUCAGAAAACAUUGAUAAUGAAAUCUUAUUUGUAUUGAAAGUUAUCCAAUACCACAUCUUGUGAAAUUGAGUGACUGUGUAAUACAACUAGUUUGCAAAUUUUGGUAUAA